CUCACAGGGUUGGGAGUUCGAGCCCCUUGUGAGUCAAAUAUCCUGGCAGCUGGCUCAUGGUCAACUCAGCCAUCCAUCCAUUCCUUGGUCGGUAAAUGAGUACCUAGCUCAUAGCUAGGGGGUAAAGAAUAGCCGGCGAAAGUAAUGGCAAACUACCCC
Molecule: long non-coding RNA, 159 nt
Organism: Sphaerodactylus townsendi
Lineage: Eukaryota; Metazoa; Chordata; Lepidosauria; Squamata; Sphaerodactylidae
Exons: 3
Source: RefSeq, a predicted model, not a curated record